AUUGAACGAGGGAGGAAGGAGGUACACAAGCAAGUCGAACGGCAGCGCGGGCUUCGGCCUGGCGGCGAGUGGCGAACGGGUGAGUAAUGCAUCGGAACGUGCCCAGUAGUGGGGGAUAGCCCGGCGAAAGCCGGAUUAAUACCGCAUACGACCUGAGGGUGAAAGCGGGGGACCGAAAGGCCUCGCGCUAUUGGAGCGGCCGAUGUCGGAUUAGCUAGUUGGUGGGGUAAAGGCUUACCAAGGCGACGAUCCGUAGCUGGUCUGAGAGGACGACCAGCCACACUGGGACUGAGACACGGCCCAGACUCCUACGGGAGGCAGCAGUGGGGAAUUUUGGACAAUGGGGGCAACCCUGAUCCAGCCAUGCCGCGUGCGGGAAGAAGGCCUUCGGGUUGUAAACCGCUUUUGUUCGGGAAGAAAUCCUCUGGGCUAAUACCCCGGGGGGAUGACGGUACCGGAAGAAUAAGCACCGGCUCCCUACGUC
This 484-nucleotide ribosomal RNA is filed under the name uncultured bacterium. RNAcentral describes it as "partial 16S ribosomal RNA". It matches the Rfam family "Bacterial small subunit ribosomal RNA", at positions 29 to 507 of the family's 1533-position model. The record is from RNAcentral.